Molecule: non-coding RNA, 954 nt
Organism: Peromyscus maniculatus bairdii (prairie deer mouse)
Lineage: Eukaryota; Metazoa; Chordata; Mammalia; Rodentia; Cricetidae
Source: RefSeq, a predicted model, not a curated record
GUCACCACCACCACCUCCUCCAUCCAGUCAGUUCAGCUAGAUGGGGAGGCGGACCGGGCUAACUGCGAGCACUGAGCACUUCUCCCUGGGGAGUAUCCAUUUGCCUUCCUAGGGGGCUUGUUCCCAUGCUGACAAGUGGACAAGACCGACUCAGCAACGCGUUACCAUGCCAACGGCGCAGUCCUGUACGUCAGACCUUCUUCAAGGCUCUUCGCCAUUUCCUUCUCUGCCAUCAUUGAUUUUCGCCCCGUGUCGUUUCACCUGACAACAAGCAUCUCUCCCUUCACGACCUCAGAAUUCAGCCCUCAUGGACCUCGUCUGACUUGGGCUCUUAGAAGCUAACUAACUUUUGAUACCAACUUCACACCUGUGGAAGGAGCUGGGAAUGCCCCGCAUUUGCCGUCAGCUUCUAGGACCAGAAGUGAGUGUGGCACAGGUGUGGGGUCAUCCACUGAAGCACGGUUGAUUUACCAGAGGCAACACCCUUAAUGAAAACCCAGGAGCCAUCAACUGUCAAUAGCUUCUCACCCGGGCAUGGGGAGGGCUCGUGGGCCCUUCCCUUCCUCAUGCUGUAAUGUUGACUAGUUUGAUCUUGAGUCUUGUACAGGCAAUCACUGAAACGUGUUGUCAUGUCCAGAACUUACUGUUAUACUCUAAUCUUCCCUGGCUUCUAGUUCUUAUGGUCAUUUUUAUCACUUCUGUGACGAUCCCUAAGUCUUGCAGGGGAAGGAUAUGCUAUAAAUGUCCCACUUAUGGCCAAGCACUCCACAGACAUUUAUCCUCCCCACUUUGACUGGUUGUAAGCUUUGGUGUUAACUGCCACUCACUGUACAAAGAAGCUUCUCUGAUGAGGACAGAGAACUGCACUGACCUAUGAACAGAGAGGUGUGCGUUUAGAUAGCAGUUUGAUACUAUGUCCAGUUAGGAAAAUAAUAAAAAAUAAAUUCUCCCUGA